UGGGGAAUAUUGCACAAUGGGCGCAAGCCUGAUGCAGCCAUGCCGCGUGUGUGAAGAAGGCCUUCGGGUUGUAAAGCACUUUCAGCGAGGAGGAAGGUGGUGAACUUAAUACGUUCAUCAAUUGACGUUACUCGCAGAAGAAGCACCGGCUAACUCCGUGCCAGCAGCCGCGGUAAUACGGAGGGUGCAAGCGUUAAUCGGAAUUACUGGGCGUAAAGCGCACGCAGGCGGUUUGUUAAGUCAGAUGUGAAAUCCCCGGGCUCAACCUGGGAACUGCAUUUGAAACUGGCAAGCUAGAGUCUCGUAGAGGGGGGCUAGAAUUCCAGGUGUAGCGGUGAAAUGCGUAGAGAUCUGGAGGAAUACCGGUGGCGAAGGCGGCCCCCCUGGACGAAGACUGACGCUCAGGUGCGAAAGCGCGGGGAGCAAACAGGAUUAGAUACCCUGGUAGUCCACGCUGUAAACGAUGUCGAUUUGGAGGUUGUGCCCCUUGAGGCGUGG
Molecule: ribosomal RNA, 498 nt
Filed under: uncultured bacterium
Lineage: Bacteria
Description: partial 16S ribosomal RNA
Rfam family: Bacterial small subunit ribosomal RNA
Source: RNAcentral